AUUGAACGCUGGCGGCAGGCCUAACACAUGCAAGUCGAGCGGAUGAAGGGAGCUUGCUCCUGGAUUCAGCGGCGGACGGGUGAGUAAUGCCUAGGAAUCUGCCUGGUAGUGGGGGAUAACGUCCGGAAACGGGCGCUAAUACCGCAUACGUCCUGAGGGAGAAAGUGGGGGAUCUUCGGACCUCACGCUAUCAGAUGAGCCUAGGUCGGAUUAGCUAGUUGGUGGGGUAAAGGCCUACCAAGGCGACGAUCCGUAACUGGUCUGAGAGGAUGAUCAGUCACACUGGAACUGAGACACGGUCCAGACUCCUACGGGAGGCAGCAGUGGGGAAUAUUGGACAAUGGGCGAAAGCCUGAUCCAGCCAUGCCGCGUGUGUGAAGAAGGUCUUCGGAUUGUAAAGAACUUUAAGUUGGGAGGAAGGGCAGUAAGUUAAUGCCUUGCUGUUUUGACGUUACCAACAGAAUAAGCACCGGCUAACUUCGUG
This 484-nucleotide ribosomal RNA is filed under the name uncultured bacterium. RNAcentral describes it as "partial 16S ribosomal RNA". It matches the Rfam family "Bacterial small subunit ribosomal RNA", at positions 30 to 507 of the family's 1533-position model. The record is from RNAcentral.